Molecule: long non-coding RNA, 2396 nt
Organism: Anthonomus grandis grandis
Lineage: Eukaryota; Metazoa; Arthropoda; Insecta; Coleoptera; Curculionidae
Exons: 7
Source: RefSeq, a predicted model, not a curated record
CUAACAAAGUCAUCCGUCUUUGAUUCUUAUCGGAUCAAAUUACGCCAUCCUAAACCCGAUAAGGAACUGCAACCUCACAGUCAGCAGAAACCCUGAGACGCAGUCCACCCAGACGCCUGUUCCCACUGAAUCGGCAUAUUGAAGAAAUAUAAAAGGAGGACAAAACAAAAGCAUGCAGCAUAAUUAAGGCAAUUAUCAUAGCAUUAUAUUAUAAUUAGAUAUCAAGUUAUUUUUGCCUAUAUUUUAUGUUCAUUUUAAGUUAAUGUAUCUUUUGUAAUUUUAAAAGUUAUAAAAAGUGUUUUUUAAAAAGUAAUUUGUGGAAGAAGUAAUCUAACAAUUGGAGCAGUCGUUGGUAGGAUCUGACAACGUCGCUAAAACACGAGUAUUCACUAGUGACGGUGGAAUCCUAUCCUUUAACAGAAAAAGAACCAAUCAAGAAUCCCGAAGAAUUGUGACUCCUCACUCACGACGAACUACGGAAGGAAUACCUGUUGAAGCCUCUGGUAGUUAAAUCGGCGUAGAGAACAAGACGAUCAGCUAGAUGAUUUCCUUACUGAUAUGUCAGUACAUGUUUGCAACGGAAUUUAAAGUCUAAAGGAAGCAUUCGUAUUCAAGGAAUUUGUCCAUAAAGAAGAAUAGUUAAAAUUCUAGUAGAUGGAGUGAUUAGAGUAAGAUUUUUUUAAACCCACGUAGGACACCCUGAUGAAUUAAGAAGCAAAAGGCUAUUAAAAUCGGAACAGAAGAUAAUUGUGGAUAAAUUUUAGGAGAAACUUAUCCAGGAUUAGAAGAAGAUGAUUUUGCAGUUGGGUAUAUGAAUGCUAUUAUAGAAAAAAAUUAAGAGAUUUUCCCAGAAGAUAAUCUGUAUAGAUGGAACUCAUGGAACAAAUAGGAGAAACUGGGACUUGAUAAUUGUGCUAAUAAGAGAUGAACAAAAUAUGGGUUUUCCAGUGGCAUUCUUACUAAGUAACAGAUUAGAUCAAUUAAUUCGAGAGGUUUUUUUAGGGCACUUAAAACUAGACUAGGGGAAGUACUUCAAGCUGAAUAUACAAUGAGUGAUGACGAUCCGAAAAUAUUACAAUGCAUGGAUAAUGGCUAUGGAUGCAGAACAUAAGCCAAGAAGAUUACUUUGUACCUGGCAUAUAGUGAACAAUUGGAACAUACAAGGAAGGUCUAAAAUCAAGAAGUUGGAAAAUAGACAGAUAAUAAAACAUGAAAUGAGGAAAAUUUUAAAGGAGACUGAUCCACAAAAAUUUAUACAGCUGAAAGAGAACUAUUUUAGGCAAUUAGAAGAAGAGGAGGAAACUAAUUUUCAGAAUUACCUGAAAAAGUACUAUUUCCAAAGUCAAGAGAGAAUAAUGAUGUGAGCGCAUUGUUAUAGAAUCAGUGCCGGAAUUAAUACAAAUAUGGCAAUUGAAAGCUUAAAUAAAGUUCUGAAGUACAACAAAAUGAAUGGAAAGCAGAAUAUUAUGAUUGAAAAACUGUUGGAUUUACUGGAUGAACUUAUUGAUGAAAGAAUGUGGAAAAGGAUAUAAACAUGGAAAGGCUAAAUGCAAAUAAUUAUCAGCACAAAAUAUGUCAGAGUGCACAUAAAAAAAAGCAGAAGAAAUGGUGGGUAAUAACGGUAAUGUAUCAUAUUCUGAAUUAGGACAUUUUAAGGUAAGGUCGUUUCGAUAAUCAUAAAUUGUAUUGUGUAAAUUAUAAUGAGGUUUAUGAUGAGGACUGUAGGGCAAUGUAUGGUGAGAAGUGUAAAAUAUGUAAACAUAUAUAUAUAAUUGUGAUUGUCCAGAAUAUACUGUUAAGAAUGCCAUGUGUAAGCAUAUACAUGCUGUAGCUUUAUUUGAGCAGAGGAGCGAAUAUGUUUCAGGUUUCAUGGAUGCAAUGCAAGAAGAUUAUAAUCUGUGUGUCAAUAAACCUCCAACAAGCAAGACAGUUUAUGAGGAUGAAGAAAAUCAUUUUCUUGACGAGACUGAAUGUGACAAUUGAUUUUGAAAGAAAGCGUGAGAUUUGUCUAGAACAGUUUUGCUUUGAAAUUCGUAAAUAUGGUGGUGGAUUGCGUGAAUAUGACUUAGAAAAAUGUAUGGGUGAUCUUAGAAAUUUUAUGCAAGCAGUAAAACAAAAAGAAAUGGUGAUGAGUAAAAAAAGAAAAAUAGAAAAGCAGCAGUAUUGUCUCACAAAAAACUGAAAUAAUUUAUUUAUAAUAAAAUGUUUAUAACUAUUUUAUUACUGCAUGACAUUGCUUUUGUGAGUGACCCAUUCUGGUAUUAUAUCUAAGUGGUGUUGGCUAUUUGUAUUCAUAUAAUUCGUUGGCUUAUGGUGAAGGAUACUUACAAAAUAUAUUUUUUAAUUUUGAUUUUACCUUUAUUAUAAUUAAAUAAUAUAUUAGUGUUUGUUUCCUA